AUCUUUACGCUGGGACUAAAGCAGUAGGGCGUGACCGAUAAGGGAUCCACUGUUAUUGCUUUUUGCAAACUAUUUCCACAAACGCAACACGACUUGUUUCGGGUUGCAAUUUUUGUCACUAUCCUAUUCUUGGAUA
Dictyostelium discoideum AX4 is the source of this 136-nucleotide small nuclear RNA. It matches the Rfam family "U4 spliceosomal RNA". Rfam says of the family: U4 small nuclear RNA (U4 snRNA) is a component of the major U2-dependent spliceosome. The structure of U4 snRNA from yeast and human has been reported. U4 snRNA presents a k-turn RNA motif in the 5p-SL related to recognition of Snu13 protein. Lineage: Eukaryota; Evosea; Eumycetozoa; Dictyosteliales; Dictyosteliaceae. The record is from Rfam.